RNAcentral lists this ribosomal RNA (486 nucleotides) under uncultured bacterium. RNAcentral describes it as "partial 16S ribosomal RNA". It matches the Rfam family "Bacterial small subunit ribosomal RNA", at positions 30 to 507 of the family's 1533-position model. The record is from RNAcentral.
AUUGAACGCUGGCGGCAUGCCUUACACAUGCAAGUCGAACGGCAGCACGGGUGCUUGCACCUGGUGGCGAGUGGCGAACGGGUGAGUAAUACAUCGGAACAUGUCCUGUAGUGGGGGAUAGCCCGGCGAAAGCCGGAUUAAUACCGCAUACGAUCUACGGAUGAAAGCGGGGGACCUUCGGGCCUCGCGCUAUAGGGUUGUCCGAUGGCUGAUUAGCUAGUUGGUGGGGUAAAGGCCUACCAAGGCGACGAUCAGUAGCUGGUCUGAGAGGACGACCAGCCACACUGGGACUGAGACACGGCCCAGACUCCUACGGGAGGCAGCAGUGGGGAAUUUUGGACAAUGGGCGAAAGCCUGAUCCAGCAAUGCCGCGUGUGUGAAGAAGGCCUUCGGGUUGUAAAGCACUUUUGUCCGGAAAGAAAUCCUUGGCCCUAAUACGGUCGGGGGAUGACGGUACCGGAAGAAUAAGCACCGGCUAACUACGUG